This 329-nucleotide ribosomal RNA is filed under the name uncultured Glomeromycotina. RNAcentral describes it as "eukaryotic LSU rRNA". Lineage: Eukaryota; Fungi; Glomeromycota. The record is from RNAcentral.
CAGUCGUACCUUCGGGUAAUCAGCCUUUCGGGUGCGAUUCUGUGGAGUGUGAGGAGUUAAACGCCUUCAUGCCUGCAUAUUCGUGCACUUUGGGUGUAUUUGCCCGUGUGGUAAGUUAACAUCAAUUUUGGUUAUCAUAAAAUGGCUGGAGGAAUGUAGCUUCGAUCUCGUAUUGAAGUGUUAUAGCCUUCGGUAGAUGUGAUGACCGGGAUUGAGGAUUGCAACGAAUACCCUUUGGGCUAUCCUGCCGAUUCCCGAAUCUUGCUCUGGGGGCCAAAGCCUGGUUUACGGUAUUCAAAUUCAAUGUCCAACAGGUUAAAACGGUUAAA